CUACGGGGUGCACCAGUGGGGAAUUUUGCGCAAUGGGGGAAACCCUGACGCAGCAAUACCGCGUGAGUGAAGAAGGCCUUUGGGUCGUAAAGCUCUUUUCUUGGGGAAGAUAGUGACGGUACCCAAGGAAUAAGCACCGGCUAACUCCGUGCGAGCAGCCGCGGUAAUACGGAGGGUGCAAGCGUUGUUCGGAUUUACUGGGCGUAAAGGGCACGUAGGCGGCACAGCAAGUUAAGGGUGAAAUCCCGGGGCUCAACUCCGGAACUGCUCUUAAAACUGCUGAGCUAGAGAUAGUCAGAGGCGGGUGGAAUUCCAGGUGUAGAGGUGAAAUUCGUAGAUAUCUGGAGGAACACCGGUGGCGAAGGCGGCCCGCUGGGGCUAUUCUGACGCUAAGGUGCGAAAGCGUGGGGAGCAAACGGGAUUAGAUACCCGAGUAGUC
This 439-nucleotide ribosomal RNA is filed under the name uncultured bacterium. Its description in RNAcentral is "partial 16S ribosomal RNA". It matches the Rfam family "Bacterial small subunit ribosomal RNA", at positions 339 to 795 of the family's 1533-position model. The record is from RNAcentral.